This 760-nucleotide long non-coding RNA is filed under the name Rhinopithecus bieti (black snub-nosed monkey). RNAcentral describes it as "lncRNA (ENSRBIG00000045235.1)". The record is from RNAcentral. Lineage: Eukaryota; Metazoa; Chordata; Mammalia; Primates; Cercopithecidae.
CCAUGUCAUAGUGAUUGCUUCAGAAGGGUCACUGACUGACAUUGAUGUCUUAUGGUGGCCCUAUGGAAGAGUCUCUUUCUUUAUGGUUUAUAUUAGUGCUUGCGGUUCACACAGCUCUCUAGAAGACCCCACACUGCUGUACUAGACUGUGGCUGCGCCUAAACCCCACCACUUCUGUGUGCCUAAAGCUGCCUUCUCUUCACUGUGAAUCAGUGGAAGCUUGGAGAAGUUGCUCACCCACCCCUGCAUCGCUCCAGAUGGCCAGGAGCAGAAAUCCUACUCACAUCAGAAUUGCUGCAGAUCAAAUAUCAAACUGCCAAAGACAGAAAAUUAUUUAUUGAGGAAUGACCCCACUAUUUAUGUAAUUUCAAGCAGACAAGGAGAGUCUCCAGGGACUAUAGGAAUUAAUCAACUUGAGCAAUCAGCCUAUUUUACAGCCUCCUGCCUUGUAGACUACUUUUUCCAAAACUCUGUGUGGCAUGUGGUCACCUAGUUGGUUGGAACCAGCUCCUGACAGACCCGAGCAACUGACAGAUGAACCUGAGUGAACUGUCCUCAUUAUCAUGCUAAAGUCUCCAUCCCGAGAGGAACUAUAGCAUUAUUACCAGAACAUGCGACCUUGGUGCUGGCAUAAAGACUCACUGCCUCUUAGCAACUGGGACCCGUCCCAUACAUGUGAUGAUGCUCACUCUGCUCUCUCCAUAGCUCCAUAAAAUCUCUCAGGGAGACACUGCUUUGGGGAAUGUUUCCUUACUUGGCU